Molecule: long non-coding RNA, 310 nt
Filed under: Capsicum annuum
Lineage: Eukaryota; Viridiplantae; Streptophyta; Magnoliopsida; Solanales; Solanaceae
Description: long non-coding RNA (CANN_LNC019701)
Source: RNAcentral
AACCCUUAUCCUCAAUAAAAAUUUGAAUUUUUCUCAAUGAAAUUUCCAAAAUGUCCCCCAAUUUCGCAAUCCUAUAUUGCUGGUUCAUCAAGAAUCCCAUUUCAAAAAUCACUAUAAAUACCUCCACUAUUCAUCAGUGAAGGGGAUGGUCAUUCCUAGGCAAGAACCCCAUUAUAAGGGAUUUUGCCAUUAAUAAGAAUUUUCAUAGCCAAAAGGUCCUAUAAGACUCCGUAGCUUUUGGCAAAGAAAACUCAAAGCGAAGUAAUUUCGGUCAAAGCUCGUCAUCCCCAUUUGCUACCUCAAAAAAGAU